Molecule: non-coding RNA, 108 nt
Organism: Acanthosepion pharaonis
Lineage: Eukaryota; Metazoa; Mollusca; Cephalopoda; Sepiida; Sepiidae
Source: the annotation of a GenBank genome assembly
GGGCCCUAUCACGUGGAAAGACCUGUUCUCGUACGGUUACCGAAGUUAAGCAACGUCGAGCCUGGUUAGUAGCUAGAUGGGUGACCGCUUUGGGAAUACCAAGUUAUG